RNAcentral lists this long non-coding RNA (1477 nucleotides) under Phasianus colchicus (ring-necked pheasant). Its description in RNAcentral is "lncRNA (ENSPCLG00000006110.1)". Lineage: Eukaryota; Metazoa; Chordata; Aves; Galliformes; Phasianidae. The record is from RNAcentral.
GGGACACGACAUGCACUGAGGUGACAGUUUUCCAGAGACUUGCCAGUUCCCACCAUGCUGAUGCACCUCCUUCGGUUUGCUUUCAGGCAGUCCUUUGUGAUGUCGCAGUGAUAAAUAAGCUUCAGUUAGAAGCUAAGCAAAGCUGAGCAAGCCUCAAAGGCACGCGGUGACACCUGCGUCACCCUUUGGCUUGUGCCUGCAUGGGAUGUGAUUUUGUAUUUUCUUCAGUCCUCCUGCAGGUUGUCUUGUAGUAAACUGAGAAAGGAGCAGAAAGAAAGCAUCACUCGCUGCUGGGCAGCAGCUUUCUCUAUCAUCAGCCUUGCUGGCCUUCCACCUCUGCGUGGGCUUCAUUUAGCAGGAACAAAAAUCACCCCCUGGUUUGUAGGAAUGCUUUGUCUGGAGAGUAAUGGUCCUCUCUGCCAUGCAUGGCUACAGCUCUACCUCUUCUCGACAAGGCUGGGAAUGAAGAACCAUUGAACCAGUGGUCAUUUCAUCAAGGCAUUCAAGGGAGCAUUGGUUCUCCCAAAGAAACCCUUCUCUAGCCAAGCUGACUCAGUGACAUUGCUGAUUCUGAUGUUGCCAGGCUGGAUCUGCUGCCUGUGCUGCUCAGGCCUCCUUAAUGUAAAAUAUUCAUGAGUGCUUCUUCUAGCUGAUCUACAUUUUGAGGGGUUUCAUUCCCCGGUCCAGCCUGCUCUGCAAUCAUGAUAUUGACUUACAAGCCAUGAGAUUUAGAAGGUAAUAUAAACUUUUUUUUUUUUCCUUCUAGGAUUUGAGUAUUCAGAGUGCAUACAUUCAGGCUUUCUUCUGAGCCUUUAGGGAGGCAAAGCAAAUGGUGAAACUCCUCUAAAGCCACACCUGCUGCAGCUCCACAAAUGGCACUUGCUAGAGGGAGAUGGAGCAAAAUCAUGGCAGUUCCCUUUUAAAUCUAUGCUAAAAUAACUUGGUUUUGUAGUAGGAUGCUGCUAACUGGGCAACACUGGCUCACAACGUUUCUGAUGGUGUUUCUCCUUUGGUUUCUGCAAUGCUGGGAUAUCUGUGUGUCAGCCUGGAGACUGAUGCCAGAAGAACUGAUUUAAUUCUUGGUUUGGCCUCAGCAGCCCCUGUGUGGAUUGCAUAAGACACUUUGCUUUUCUGUAAUUAUAAUCUGGUCCUGAGGACAGAAGGCUUUGCCAUCACCUCAGCUAUGGGCCUGCCUCAGCCACGUGCUGCUGCAGCAAGACCUGGAAGUGGCAUAAAACACACAUAGUUUCUUCUGGAAGGAAUUAAAAGUGGCUCUUUUAUAUUGGUGGAUGUCACACAUCAACUGGCUUGUAAAUAUAACUUCAACUCCUAAAAAAGGCGAUUAUCACCUUUAUACUUCCUUAAUAGCAUCAUUUUAAAGUGAGUUACUGACAUCAUAUAUUACCUUCUUCCCCUAACAUAAAUGGUCUCCUCUUGCUGUAUUUUAUUACAUAUUGUAAAUUCAUUCGAGCAGUAU